Molecule: long non-coding RNA, 2566 nt
Filed under: Anas zonorhyncha (Eastern spot-billed duck)
Lineage: Eukaryota; Metazoa; Chordata; Aves; Anseriformes; Anatidae
Description: lncRNA (ENSAZOG00000007834.1)
Source: RNAcentral
AUGGCUCCCGGCGCGGGGGGCGCUCCCCCUGGCGGCCGCCCCCCCUGCCUUGCCCCGACCUUCCUCCACCUCCUCCUCCUCCUCCUCCUCCUCCUCCUCCUCCUCCUGCUGCCCCCAGCGGCCCGGGAGGAACUGAACGGGCGCCGCACAGGAAGUAGCGGCUGCGGGGAGCAGUGGUGGUGGCGGUGGAGGAGGAGGAGGAGGAGGCAGAGGCAGCAGCAGCAGCAGCAGCAUCAGGGGCUGCGGCGCUCCAUGAGCCCAGGCUCCCGCAGCCGCCCGGCCCCGCUCGUCCCCGGCACUCAGCGCCCAAGCCCGGGGGCUGGAGCUUCCCGAGGAGAAGGAGGAGGAGGAGGAGGGAGGCAGGCAAAUGAGAAAGCAAAUCUCUUGAAACAUAAGCAGUGGUACUUCCCUGGAGGGAGGAGAUGGGAAUUCUCCUGUUACUCUGAGAGUUGCCAGGUGCCAGAAGUGGUCCACAGUGGUGGUGUCUCUCAUGCAUAAAAGGUGACAGCAAAAGUGGAAGGCUGAUGAGACCCCACUGACACAGCAAGAGGACAGUUUUUCAGGGUAAGAUUUUAAAACCCCGAAGCGUCUAGUGUCAGAUGUUGACAUUUUAAUGAUGAUCUCCAUGAUACCCUGCCCUCUUUGUGGGCUAUUAAUAGCUUUUUUAUAGGAAAGUAAUUUACUCCUGGUGAUUUUGCACACACAUGCAGCGUUGCUUUAGUAUUUUAAAAUGUUUCAAGGUCUAUUAUAGGAUGAGUCUUUUGCCACAAAACUUUAAUCUUUGUGAGAUUUUCUUCAAAGCUCAGAUUUGCAUAGCAAUACCUACUGGAUCAUCCACAGACUGUUCAGGGCAUGUUUUCUGUCUCCAUGCAAAGGUAUACUCCAUUUGAAGUUCUAGUUUUCCCUGCUAUGAAAAAACGCUAAAGCAUUCAUCAUAGGUUAUAUUGGGUGGGCAAAUAACCACUUCUGUGAGUCCCAGGUAUUCUUGGACCAAAUUUUACACAUACAUUAGUUAUUACACCUGAAUCUGGUUAAUAUUGAUCGUCUGCAGCUUUGGUAGGUGAAGGGAUGAACAAAGCCUUGUUACAGUGUGGUGGUGACCAGCUACUUUCAGAGCCAGUUCUGCAGAAUGCUUUUGCUCGGGCUCAUUGCCAUCAGUGUAAAAGCAAUACCCAAGCGAUGUGUGAAAACCUAUUUUUUGUGGAUUUGCCGUUUCAUAGCUUAUUUUUUCUGUUUAUACAGCCCCAAUUUUUGCCUUUCUUCUUUUUGUGUAAGGCCUGAAAAAGCCAUUGAUGCAAGUGUUACUGAGAAGCAAAGAUAUGCUGGUGGGGGACAGGAUUGUAUGAAUUGUGCAUGGCUGCUGAAUUUUCAAGUUCUGCUUCUGUUUGGACUUGAGCUUCUGGUAUCCAGCCCUGCAGGCUGCAAAGCCUGGUGCCUGUGCCCCUUGUGUAGUGCGUGCCUGGGUCUUUUAUCUCUGGUCGAUGGAGCCUGCGAGGAGGAAUCGUCUGGAAACGAAAUGUCCUGAAUGAGGUGGAUGGCCAUGCUGGAAGCUGCAUGGGUUGAAUAAUCCCAUGAAUAAUUCCUUCACCACCUUGAUUGUUUAGAUAAAUCCAGAGCGGGUCGAUAGAUAUUAAUAUGGAUUAGAGAAAUUUUACUGAGAGCUUUUCAGUGUCCCAGUGGACACUUCUUAUGCAGAGCAAAUCUCCAUUUCAUGAACCAAAGCACAAAUGGUACCAGCAGGCACGCACUCAAAGAGGUGAGGGACUGACUUAUGGGGAGGCUGAAUUAUGAUAGCAUUUCUCGUAAUGGCUGGCCCCUCUUGUUGAGGCUCGUGCAUAAGCAGAGGCCCUAUGGGUACCAUCUGCUGUUUUUGUCCUUACUACACGUCUUCGUGGGGAGAUUUCUUUUUCUCAGGCUUGCCAGCAUGACAAUUUUGUAGCAAUUAUUGGAAGAGUCAUUUUUAAUAUAAAUUUAGUUGGGGGUCACAGGAAAAAAAAAAAAGGCAAAGACAAAGAUCCAGCAGGCUACAACAAGAAGCAGCUCACAAAAGCAGCAAUGACAAUCGCAAUUUCAAGAGUUUCUUUUAGUUCAAGCAAGGAGAAACGUAAAGUACGUUUUGUGAGAUUUUCUUCAAAGCUCAGAUUCACAGAGCAGUACCUACUGGAUCAUCCACAGACUGUUCAGGGCAUGUUUUCUGACUCCAUGCAAAGGUAUACUCCAUUUGAAGUCGUAGUUUUCCCUGGAACAGAGGUUGGCUCUCCUUAUGAUUUUCAUCUGGAAGAAGUAAGUGUACCGGCUGUGUUUUGUGAAGCACUCAGUCGUCAUGACUUUUGAAGAGAGCGGGACUACACCACUCCCAAGUUUUGAUCCCCAGGAGGCUGAGGGAAGGGGCAGCACUGUCAGAAGAUGCUGGCUGCGCUUGGGAGCAGGACCUGGCACUGUUCAGUCCUGCCAGCGUGGUCAAGGACCAGUCUGAGCAUGGGAGAUUCAGUGGAAAUCAAAGGCCCAUAAGCUGAAUCUCCAGGCCGCGGGCAAGAGAAUUUUAUAACUACUGCCUCUAAGAGCA